RNAcentral lists this long non-coding RNA (3604 nucleotides) under Mus musculus (house mouse). Its description in RNAcentral is "long non-coding RNA chr18:23954691-23958295". The record is from RNAcentral. Lineage: Eukaryota; Metazoa; Chordata; Mammalia; Rodentia; Muridae.
CUUUGUGGCUAAUGUCCGCUACUCGGGCUGCUCCUCCGCUGUAGCUGGGGCUCCGUCCGGCGGGGAGCCCUGCGGCAGAUCCCGAAGUCGCCGCUGUCAGCUGGAGAGCCCCGUGGAGCCCCCUCGGGCACGCGCCUACGCUGUGCUUUAACCCGGAAGCUAAAAAUAGGGUGCGUGCGGCGAGCCGCGAGGAAGGCAGGUGUGGAGCUGGUGUCUCGCUAGCGGGCGCACGGAGCUGUGGUGUCGCCGCUCGGGGUCCUUCCCCAUGGGACUGAGGGAGAGGGAGAGAGCGGACCCGGCGACUGAGAAGCGCAGAGGUGGUCAGCGUCUGGGUGAGAGCCGCGGGAACGCCGCCUGGGCCGCCCCAGGCAGUACGGGGGCCAGGAGGUCCGGCGUGGCGAGGACGCAGGCUUAGUUAAUGUGACCUAGAUGGUUGUAGGGGAAGCAAGGCGUCCGGACUUGAGGCUGCUUGACAGGGCUCAGGUUUCUCAGGUAGGGGAGUGGGGCUGGGUGAGUGUGUAACCUGGGAGACAAGACGUUAUUAGUACUGUCUCGCGCUGGCGGGUGGUGGGGAGGGCUCUCUCUACUCAGCCUUGUGAGCUCAGGGCCCGGGUUUAACAGAAAUUGAAGGAGCAUACACAUCUCUGUAUACAUCAGAUCGUGUUUGUUCCUCAUCUCCAAAUCUAGUAAAUGGUUACUACCAUAUUUCGUUUGAAUUUAGAAGACUCACGCUUUUGAGAGCUGAAGUUGACUUUUUGCGUCCAUUGUAUCAUGUUUUUAAUCCAAGCUAAGCAUUUCAGAGUUACAGAAUUCCUCACUAAAUUCAUUCGUAAGCCAAUCCUUUUAUUAAUACUGGCUCAGAACAAAGCCCACACAAACUAAGGGCCUCCAUGUUUGCUGAAUAUUUCAGUAUAUGAAUGGGACCAAUUGGCAAAUACACAAAAUUUUAAACAAAUUUAUGUUCAGUGCAGAUUUUAAAAUGUUACUACCUUAAAUGCACACCAGCACUACAUGCUAUAAACAGUAACUAAAGAAAAAAAAAAUUAGAGCUUGCAUUAAGUUCUGCCAAAAGCAGGGUUUGGUGCUGCAUGCCUUUAGUCAAAGAACUGCAGGGGCAGGAAAGCUCUGAGCUCAAGGUCAGCCUACACUACAUAGCAGGUUCCAGGACUACAUAGAGGCCCUGUCUUAAAAACAAACAGGAACAAUCUGCAGCCUGUAUUUUAUUAAAAUUUUCUGUGAUUGGGGAUGCGGCCCCGUGGUAGAAUGCCUGUCUAGCAUGAACCUGAGUUCACUGUCAAGGAGUGGCAAAGAUGUAGCUUACUAGCAAAGUAAAAGUGUUACCUAUCAUUCCUAAGACCCUGAGUUCGUUCCCAGCACUGAGAAAAGUUCCCGUUUACAGAGUUAGGAAUUUAAUGAGGACUGAAAGAUAACUGAAAAGGAGAUAAUCUCACCAUGUAAUCAUGUUAAUAUUGCAUUCUUACACUUCUAAAAUUUUUUCUCUCAGUGGUAGGAGUUUGAUAUAGUAGGAGAUAUGACUGUUAGUACUUCAUCAAUAUAUUUAGUCUUGAACGUACUUACUUUCAAUGUUACAAGUUUUUAGAGGCUUUUUUCCUAUGCUGUAAGUUACAAUGCUUUCAUGUAUUGUAGGAAAGAAGAGGUUACACCUGGGCCCCGAGAGGCUCUGGAAACUCCUCCCCAAGCACAAAACCCAACUGUACUAAGCUUUUUGUGAGCUAUUUCAGCCCAGAAUGGCUGUGGAAUCCAGAGCAAUUUCAACUUUAAAACCUCAGGACCAUCAAGAAGAAUUAAUACUAGUGAAAAUAGAAGAUAGUAGCUUUUCUUGGAGUCAGAAAUGUAAACAGAAUGGGAGUGCCCAAUCUUGCCAAGAAUUAUUUCGCCAGCAAUUCAGGAAGUUUUGCUAUCAUGAAACACCUGGGCCCCGAGAGGCUCUGGGGCGACUCCAGGAACUUUGCCAUCAGUGGCUAAUGCCAGAGUUGCACACAAAGGAGCAGAUCCUAGAACUGUUAGUGCUGGAGCAGUUCCUGAGCAUCCUACCUGAAGAGCUGAAGAUAUGGGUUCAACAACAUGGUCCAAAAAGUGGUGAGGAAGCUGUGACUCUACUGGAGGAUUUGGAGAAAGAGUUUGAUGAUCCGGGGCAGCAGGUGAUGUGUUUGGGGGAAAAAUUGCAGCCCUAGAUGUAGUAUCUUUGCUGGUUAAAAUGUUGUCUCUGAGGAACCGUGACCUUGAUGUCCCAGUAGCACAUCUUUACCUCUUCAACCUUUUUCCUCCCCAUCCUUCAUUUGUGGCACUGGCCUUAUUAUAACCAUGUAAGAUUCCUACUAAUUAUAUUGUACUGGUUUCAGGUCCCAGAUAAUCUACAAGGACCGUCAGUGUCAUGGAAAGAUUUGACAUAUCUCAAAACAUCCCAAGAUUCAACCAGCAUCCAAGUCCGGCCUUUGAAGACACAGCUGAAAUCCUGGAAUCCUUGCCUUUCCUCUAAAAGUGGUAGGAAUAGAAACUUAUUUGCAAAUGUAUGGAAGUUAGGCCUCUGGUUUUGAAGAUGCAGACUUGCAUUUAUGUACUUGUUGCAUGCGAACAUUUGUAUUAAUCAAAACCAGAGGUGCCCACUGGAGCAACUUUGUAAUCAGCAACCCUCACAGGAGUUGUAGUCAUCCUUCUUUGUAUGAGUUUCCCUGCCAUUGAUUCACUUAACCAUUUCCUAAUUUUGUGGAGUGCUAAAAAUGUCUAAUAGUGACGGUGUUUCCAUCUUCAAGUAAUUUUCAGACCUUCAUUAGUGGUUCAUAGAAAAGCAGAUGCAUCCUAGUACAGUACAUUAUGGAAUGUAAGGAGGCCGUCUGUAGGGGCCGUGGCAGCACAUAAAGUGACACCAGGCCCCAUAUGACAAUCACGGAGGGUAGGAAAGUUGGCUUAGCAGUUAAGAGCAUAUGUGGUGGCUCUUGCAGUGCACCUGGGCUUAGUUCUUAGCAUUCACAUGGCAGCUUGCAACCAUCUGUAACUACAGAUCUGACAUCAUUUAUUGACCACCCCCAGUACCAUAUAUGCACAUGAUCCAUAACAUACAUGGAGGCAAAAUACCUGUACACAUGAAAUAAUAAAUCUAAAAAGAAAUAAAUAAAUGAAUGAAAUUUAAAGACAUAAUCAAGGAAUACUUCCUGGAGGGAGAAAUACCUAAGCUAUAAUUUGAAUUACAAGCAGGAGAAAGCCAGGUAAAUAGAUAAUAGAAAGCCAUUAAAGUGAGAGAAUAUAGCCCAUUAUAGAAAUUAUAGAUACUUCAGUUUGACUUGAGAACUGAUAAGGAAUAAUGAAAGAAACUAAAGGAAGAAAUGAGGUACAAGUUGCUAAAACCUGUUACACUGUUUAUAUCUACCUGUGACAGGUGCAGUUGACGGAAAUGGAUAAGGAAGUGGCAUUAUUAGAACUCAGCUCCAGAGUAUAGAAAUGAUUUGAAAAAGGCAAGAUUAGAGACCACAGUAAAUGAGGAAACUUGUGUUACUCUGGGGCAUAGAGAAGACUGAAGCUGAAAUCUGUUCCUCAGCAUUGAAAAAGCAUUGCAGGAGGUACUCAUUAUUAAAAGCAAAUCAUG